GACGAACGCUGGCGGCGUGCUUAACACAUGCAAGUCGAACGGUGAAGCGCCUUCCUUUUUGGUGGGUGUGGAUGAGUGGCGAACGGGUGAGUAACACGUGAGUAACCUGCCCCCUUCUUCUGGAUAACCGCAUGAAAGUGUGGCUAAUACGGGAUAUUCUGGGUCUGUCGCAUGAUGGGUCUGGGAAAGAUAUUGUUUCGGUGGGGGAUGGGCUCGCGGCCUAUCAGCUUGUUGGUGGGGUGAUGGCCUACCAAGGCGGUGACGGGUAGCCGGCCUGAGAGGGUGGACGGGCACACUGGGACUGAGACACGGCCCAGACUCCUACGGGAGGCAGCAGUGGGGAAUAUUGCACAAUGGGCGCAAGACUGAUGCAGCGACGCCGCGUGAGGGAUGGAGGCCUUCGGGUUGUGAACCUCUUUCGCCAGUGAAGCAGGCCUGCCUCGUUUGUGGGUGGGUUGACGGUAGCUGGAUAAGAAGCGCCGGCUAACUACGUG
This 494-nucleotide ribosomal RNA is filed under the name uncultured bacterium. RNAcentral describes it as "partial 16S ribosomal RNA". It matches the Rfam family "Bacterial small subunit ribosomal RNA", at positions 28 to 507 of the family's 1533-position model. The record is from RNAcentral.